Molecule: ribosomal RNA, 402 nt
Filed under: uncultured soil bacterium
Lineage: Bacteria
Description: bacterial SSU rRNA
Rfam family: Bacterial small subunit ribosomal RNA
Source: RNAcentral
CAGCCCUUGACAUCCCGGUCGCGGAGAGCAGAGACGCACUCCUUCAGUUCGGCUGGACCGGAGACAGGUGCUGCAUGGCUGUCGUCAGCUCGUGUCGUGAGAUGUUGGGUUAAGUCCCGCAACGAGCGCAACCCUCGCCCUUAGUUGCCAUCAUUCAGUUGGGCACUCUAAGGGGACUGCCGGUGAUAAGCCGGAGGAAGGUGGGGAUGACGUCAAGUCCUCAUGGCCCUUACGGGCUGGGCUACACACGUGCUACAAUGGCGGUGACAGAGGGAUGCAAAGGGGCGACCCUUCGCAAAUCUCAAAAAGCCGUCUCAGUUCGGAUUGGGGUCUGCAACUCGACCCCAUGAAGUUGGAAUCGCUAGUAAUCGCAGAUCAGCACGCUGCGGUGAAUACGUUCCC